AAUGCCCCAUGGUGAUGUCCUCAGGCAUCUGAGGUCAUCUAAAGAUCCGUCGGAUGGGGAUAGGCUCGCGUGACAUUAGCUAGACGGCGGGGUAACGGCCCACCGUGGCGACGAUGUCUAGGGGUUCUGAGAGGAAGGUCCCCCACACUGGAACUGAGACACGGUCCAGACUCCUACGGGAGGCAGCAGUGAGGAAUAUUGGACAAUGGCCGGAAGGCUGAACCAGCCAUGCCGCGUGAAGGUCAGUGCCCUAUGGGCGUUAAACUUCUUUUGUGCGGGAGCAAUAAUGGUCACGUGUGGCCAGACGAGAGUACCGUACGAAUAAGCAUCGGCUAACUCCGUGCCAGCAGCCGCGGUAAUACGGGGGAUGCAAGCGUUAUCCGGAUUUAUUGGGUUUAAAGGGUGCGUAGGCUGUGAGGUAAGUCAGCGGUGAAAUGCCCCCGCUCAACGGGGUGAAGUGCCAUUGAUACUGCCUUGCUGGAAUGCGGAUGCCGUGGGAGGAAUGUGUGGUGUAGCGGUGAAAUGCAUAGAUAUCACACAGAACACCGAUUGCGAAGGCAUCUCACGAAUCCGCGAUUGACGCUGAUGCACGAAAGCGUGGGUAUCAAACAGGAUUAGAUACCCUGGUAGUCCACGCUGUAAACGAUGAUGACUAACCGUCGGCGAUACACAGUCGG
This 677-nucleotide ribosomal RNA is filed under the name uncultured bacterium. RNAcentral's name for it is "bacterial SSU rRNA". It matches the Rfam family "Bacterial small subunit ribosomal RNA", at positions 165 to 840 of the family's 1533-position model. The record is from RNAcentral.